GGGCCCAUAGCUCAGCGGUAGAGCCACCGGCUCAUAACCGGUUAGUCCCAGGUUCGAAUCCUGGUGGGCCCACCA
This 75-nucleotide transfer RNA is filed under the name Acidobacteriota bacterium. RNAcentral's name for it is "tRNA-Ile". It matches the Rfam family "tRNA". Rfam says of the family: Transfer RNA (tRNA) molecules are approximately 80 nucleotides in length. RNAcentral also lists the same sequence under 2 other names. The record is from RNAcentral. Lineage: Bacteria; Pseudomonadati; Acidobacteriota.